Acanthosepion pharaonis is the source of this 112-nucleotide non-coding RNA. NCBI's taxonomy places the organism in Eukaryota, Metazoa, Mollusca, Cephalopoda, Sepiida, Sepiidae. The record is from the annotation of a GenBank genome assembly.
UAUGGCCAUAUCAUGUUGGAACACCGGCUGUCAUAUGAUAACUGAGUUAAGCAAUGUCAAGCCUGAUUAGUACUAAGAUGGAUGACCACUAGGGAACACCAGGUGCUGUAAG